Molecule: long non-coding RNA, 545 nt
Filed under: Ficedula albicollis (Collared flycatcher)
Lineage: Eukaryota; Metazoa; Chordata; Aves; Passeriformes; Muscicapidae
Description: lncRNA (ENSFALG00000025545.1)
Source: RNAcentral
UGUCCACAGCAUCACAGAUCAGUCAUGAUCUCACAGAAAAGCAGUGCACCACCAGUCUGGGAGGUCUGCUCCUGCAGGGAACAGACAACAUGGUCCAGAAAUUGUUCUUCCACCUUGUUAAACCUUGUUCCACCUGUUAAACCAUCUGAUCAGCCUAUGAUACCUUUCUCUUUACCAGAAGAUUUGAAAGAGCAAGCUGGAGUUACUAUAGUAAAUGUGUCAUUUCCUCUCCUUUCCAAAGGAUGAAACAGCUGAGAUUGCAGGGACUAAACUUCAAGACAUACAGAAAAUUAUUGUAGCUUCCAGAAUCCACUGGAUCUCAGCAGAGUAUCCCAGCAAUUACCCAUUCACAGAGAAGUGGUCUUUCUACAGUUUGAUGCAGCAAUCAGACAUCAAUUAUGGUAGGAAUUACAACUUGUUGGGGAUGGGACUGGCAACUUUUUUGAUAAAAAGGUGUUUUUUUAGUUGUUCACAAAGAAAAAAAAAUGUAGGAAAGCUGAAUUUAAAUUUUGUCCAUGGUGUCUGUUCCGAGAUCAUGAUAUGUG